CAGUAGCCGCGGUAAUACAGAGGGUGCAAGCGUUAAUCGGAAUUACUGGGCGUAAAGCGCGCGUAGGUGGUUUGUUAAGUUGGAUGUGAAAGCCCUGGGCUCAACCUGGGAAUUGCAGUGGAUACUGGGUCACUAGAGUGUGGUAGAGGAUAGUGGAAUUUCCGGUGUAGCAGUGAAAUGCGUAGAGAUCGGAAGGAACAUCUGUGGCGAAGGCGACUAUCUGGGCCAACACUGACACUGAGGCACGAAAGCGUGGGGAGCAAACAGGAUUAGAUACCCGUGUAGUCCCUGUCUCUUAUAC
This 301-nucleotide ribosomal RNA is filed under the name uncultured bacterium. RNAcentral's name for it is "partial 16S ribosomal RNA". It matches the Rfam family "Bacterial small subunit ribosomal RNA", at positions 509 to 807 of the family's 1533-position model. The record is from RNAcentral.